GGUGGAAAACAGAGCAUUGUAAAGUGCACAGAUCAAAACAGCAAUAAACAGAGAGGAAAAGGAAUAUUUUCCCAUGAAGGGUAAGUGAGUUGAAAGAACUUACACUUUGAACAUUUC
Molecule: long non-coding RNA, 117 nt
Filed under: Canis lupus familiaris (dog)
Lineage: Eukaryota; Metazoa; Chordata; Mammalia; Carnivora; Canidae
Description: lncRNA (ENSCAFG00000056095.1)
Source: RNAcentral